UUGGUAUAUAUUAUUUUCUAAGGCAACAAUGUAAUCUCCGGAGAAAUUGUUCAGAUCGGUUAACUAUAGCAUAUAGCUGCCAUACAAACUGAACGAUCGGAAUCAAGUUCUUGUAUGGAAAACUUUCACAUUUGACAAGACAUAUUCACGAAAUUUGAUAUGUAUUUUUUUCUAAAGCAACAAUGUAAUCUCCUAAGAAAUUGAUCAGAUCGGUUAAAUAUAGCAUAUAGCUUCCAUACAAACUGGACACAUAGUUACUAACAGAAAUGCACCUGUGAAGGGUAUUUAGCUUCGGUGCAACCGAAGUUAACGUUUUUCCUUGUUUUAAUCUACAAAUGUUAGUACCGAACACACAAAGAGUGUACUCACAACAAGGAAGACAUUUAUACAUACAUAUAUACAGAUAGCCAGGCGGCUUAGAAAUCACUAAAAUCUGAUAGACUUUAAAUACCGUUCCAGGAUUUCCGGAAUAAAAUGCGUAUGUUCGGAUAGAGGGCGUUCUCCAGAUAAAUAUUGGCACAAUUCCGAUUUCUUUGGCGCCACGAUUUGAAGGUACCGUUGGAAAGAGGAAGUCCUCCUGAUUAAAAAAUAAAAGGGUUAUAGUGAACAUCAUGUGUGUGCUAAAAAUUACGACGAAAUGGAGCGCUGCCAUGUGAUAAUAAGGAAAUUCGCUGACAUGCCUUUUUCCCAAAAAUUCCUCUAUCCAUUCAUGUGGAUAUGUUCUUUAUUUAAUUUAAUAAAGAAAUAAGUAAUAUUUUAUAGUAAUAUUAUAUAUUAAUAUUAUAUAUAUUGUCACCUAAUAUACAAAAAACGUAUUAUCAAAAAUAAAUCGGAGCCACUGACAGAUAUAAUAACCAAAAUUUAACCAUUUUAUAACGAAACCUCAAAUUUUGUUUCAAUAUCAGUGCAAGAUAACCAAAAAAUAUAACCACUUUAUAACGAAACUCAA
Molecule: long non-coding RNA, 949 nt
Organism: Bactrocera neohumeralis
Lineage: Eukaryota; Metazoa; Arthropoda; Insecta; Diptera; Tephritidae
Exons: 2
Source: RefSeq, a predicted model, not a curated record